This is a long non-coding RNA of Apodemus sylvaticus (European woodmouse), 2961 nucleotides long. RefSeq lists it as uncharacterized. Lineage: Eukaryota; Metazoa; Chordata; Mammalia; Rodentia; Muridae. The record is from RefSeq and is a predicted model, not a curated record. The transcript is spliced from 2 exons.
CUCGGGGCUGGAGGGCGGGGCUUCUUAGCGGAAGCGCACCCUCCAAGUCCUGGAACUCGGACUCUUCCUCCGGGCAGCUUUGGGCUGGGGAAUGGGAAGACCCUCCCCAGAUAAGGGCCUCCGACCUUUAGAAACCAGAGGACUGGAGCCGCCUCAGGUGCACUGAGGAAGGCAGCGGUUGCCUGCGUUGAGACCUGUGCGGCGAGGAGCUCCGCACAGCGGUCGCCGCUGCAGAGGACCCAGGCGCUGGUCUGCCGGGCAGUGCGUGUCCCCAUGUGACCCGCGCACUGCGGGGACCUAAGGGGCACGCCCGGGAUCUGCCACCUCUGCAGAGGGCGCGAAUCUGCAAGGCCUGCGCGACUCCUGCCACCUCGGCCCUGCAUCCGUGCGGGGCUGUAACUCGAAAGGAAGCGCCGCUCUUGUCGCCUUCCUAGAGGCGGGGGGAGCUGGAGGUGGCCAGCCUGUGUCUGCCCAGCAGGAUGCGGAGCCCUCCGUCGCCCGGCGUCUUCCCCUUCGCGUCCGGAGGCGACAGAGCGACCUCUGCAUCUCAGGUGCUGGGAAACAGGAACGCCUCACCGAGGAGGAAGGGAAGCGCCGAGGUCACCAAGAAACGGAGAAUGUCAAGUAUAUGGGCUGCGGUCCUCCGUCCUUGGGUGACCCCUACAGAUGGACAGAUGGAGGGAGCGCACUAUACUAAAGUGGCCUCGGGAGAAAUAACUUCCGUUUUGUGUCAUAACCUUAAAAAUCAAAACCUGAAACGGAAGGGAAAACCACAUGUACUCCUGAGAGCUGCUCGACACCUGUUAAUUUUAAAUGUGUUGUUCUUCUAGGGGUUACUGGGGGAAUUCCAACGCUCGGGAGGCAGAAGGGGCUCUGGAGUUCCAGGCCAGCAUGGUCUACACACUGAGUUCCAGACUAGCAAGGACUACGCAUCUUUUCUGUGAUGGUUUGAAUAUGCUUGGCCCAGGAAGUUGCAAUAUUAGGAGGUGUGGCCUUAUUGAAGGAAGUGUGUCACUGUGAACCAGCGUGGGUGUAGGAGCCUUGUCCUAGCUGCCUGGAAGCCAGUCUUCUAGCAUCCCUCAGAUGAAGAUGUAGACCAUUCAGCUCCUCCUGCACCAUGAUUACCUGAAUGCAACCAUGUUCCCACCGUGAUGAUAAUGAACUGAACCUCUGAACCCAUAACCCAGCCCCAGUUAAAUGUCCUUAUAAGAGUUUCCUUGGAUCCUGUCUAGAAAAACCAAAAAAAAAAAAAAAAAAAAAAAAGUUUCCUCCGUGGGCUGGAGAGAUGGCUCGGCGAUUAAGAGCACUGACUGCUCUUCCCGAGGUCCUGAGUUCAAAUCCCAGCAACCACAUGGUGGUUCACAACCAUCUGUAAUGGGGAUCUGAUGCCCUCUUCUGGUGUGUCUGAAGACAGCUACAGUGUACUUACAUAUAAUAAAUAAAUAAAUCUUAAAAGAAGAAGGAAGAAGAUAAUGAUGAUCAUCACUGAGGUGAAAUCUUCCGGGAAGUGUUUUCUGAGAGCACAAAGAAGGUGUGUGAUAACCAAAGCUGUACCUCAUGCUGCAGCUGGACCACCAUGAGGCUCGGCACUGUGAGAGGCCAGGGAAGGCCAUUGGUGAAGGUGCAGCCUCAGUUGCAAUUGACGGCCCAGGACUGAAGUGGUCAUGCAAAGGAUUUGAGGCUUGGCACCAUGAAGAGAGCCUAUAAGAGGCUAUUGGUUAAGCCUAAUUGCAGAAGACCCCAGCAUUAUUGGAGAUGCCAGUACCCUGGAUGAUCACCAAGAACAGCAGCAGCAGUGGAGUGGGUCAAUCUGAGCGUAGAGUGCUGCAGAGGGCAGAGCUGGAGAAGUGACGCCAGCCCUUAGGAGGAGCCCAGAAGAUCAUGUGUGGAUCCCAGGCAUUCAAACAAGAAGCUGUAACAUUGAAGCUGCCUUGGAGAUCCCAAGGUAUUUGAGAUGCCAGAGCUGUGGGCUGUCUGCUGAGGAAAGCUGCCAACAGGGAGUGGAACCAGCCCAGGAGAAAGAACUAUACUGCUGUUGAUGAAGAUGAAAAAGGAGUGGAGAUCGGAAGGCUGCUUUGACAUCAGCCAUGGAGGUGCAGAGUUUGGAGUUUGCUCAGCUGGUUUCCUGUCUUGCUUUGGGGAUUACAGUUAAGUGAUUGGAUGAAUCUCAGCAGAGACCUUGAAUUUUGGACUUUUAACACUGUUGAGACUGCUAUAGACUAUGGGGGCCUUGGAAGUUAGAGUAAUUGUAUUUUCCAUUAUGCUAUGUUUAGGUAUGGCUAAUAUACCUGCCAUAGACUCCUGUGUUUGGAUUUGGUUUUUUCGAGACAGGGUUUCUCUGUGUAGCCCUAGCUGUCCUGGAACUCACUCUGUAGACCAGGCUGGCCUCGAACUCAGAGAUCCGCCUGCCUCUGCUUCCCAGAGUGCUGGGAUUACAGCGCCACCACCACCCAGCGACUCCUAUGUUUGAACAAGCUUCUGUGGACCAAGGAAUGUGAUGGUUUGCAUAUGCUUGGCCCAGGGAGGGGCACUAUUUGGAGGUGUGGCCUUGCUGGAGUAGGUGUGUCACCAUGGGCGUGGGCUUUAAGACUCUACUCCUAGCCAGGUAGUGGUGGCGCAUGCCUUUAAUCCCAGCACUCCGGAAGGCAAAGGCAGGCGGAUUUCUGAGUUCAAGGCCAGCCUGGUCUACAGAGUGAGUUCCAGGACAGCCAGAGCUACACAGAGAAACCCUGCUUCGAAAAAAAAACCAAAAAAAAAAAAAAAAAAAAAAAAAAAAGACUCUACUUACUCCUAGCUGUCUGGAAUUGAGUCUUCCACUAGCAGCCUUCAGAUGAAGAUGUAGAACUCUCAGCUCUGCCUGUACCAUGCCUGCCUGGAUACUGCCUUGUUCUAGCUUUGAUGAUAAUGGACUGAACCUUUGAACCUGUCAGCCAGCCUCAAUUAAAUGUUCUUAUAAGAGUU